RNAcentral lists this ribosomal RNA (603 nucleotides) under Trebouxia sp. 1 LM-2014. Its description in RNAcentral is "eukaryotic LSU rRNA". The stretch from base 144 to 297 matches the Rfam family "5.8S ribosomal RNA". Lineage: Eukaryota; Viridiplantae; Chlorophyta; Trebouxiophyceae; Trebouxiales; Trebouxiaceae. The record is from RNAcentral.
CUUUGGGGAGGCCUAACGGUCUCACCCAAUGGCUUGGGGUUCUGCCGGCUGUGAGGGGUGGCGGUUAACUCACUUUAAGCAAUCAAUUCUGAAGGCAGAUCUAUUGGCUAGCAUUGCUGGCUAUAGACUGAACAAAUACAGACAACUCUCAACAACGGAUAUCUUGGCUCCCGUAACGAUGAAGAACGCAGCGAAAUGCGAUACGUAGUGUGAAUUGCAGAAUUCCGUGAACCAUCGAAUCUUUGAACGCAAAUUGCGCUCGAGGCUUCGGCCAAGAGCAUGUCUGCCUCAGCGUCGGCUACUACCCUCAACUAAGUUUCCUACGAAAGACUAGGGGAUGCCAGUUGGAUAUGGCCGUCCGGUUUGCCUUUCAGGCUGCCGGUCAGCUGAAAUACAUUCACGCUCUGGGGGCUGCUUUCCUUGAAAGGCUACUUUCAAGGGGAGGCGAGUUCCGAUUUGGUAGGUGACCUUUGCCGGUUACAUGCCUUCGUUGCUCGCUAAGCUUCCCAAUAGUCGUUGUGCAGGACGCCUUUUGGCUUUCGACCUGAGGUCAGGCAAGAACACCCGCUGAACUUAACCAUAUCAAUAAGCGGAGGAAAAGAA